UUGUAAAAAUCAAAGGUGUAACCUGCCCAAUGAUCUUAAACUUAAAAAAUAUGACCAUUUUUAAAUAGAUUUAAAGGACGCAGUAUCCUGACUGUGAUAAUGUAGCAUAAUCAUUCGCCAUUUAAUUGAUGGAUAGUAUGAAUGGUUGAACGAAUUCUUCACUGUCUUAAGAAAAGAAAUAAUGAAAUUUAAAUAAUAGUAAAGAUGCUAUUUAAAAUUGUAAGACGAAAAGACCCUAUAGAGCUUAACUAUAAGUUCUUUUUACCCUAAAGAAUAUAAUUCUAUAAAUAAAGAACUUGGUAGUUUAGUUGGGGCGACUAUCUUCUAAUAUUAACGAAGACAAGCAAAAUUAAUAUAUAUAAUUUAUUGUAUAACCUAUAAGUUUAACAAUUACUAAAGUAGGCAUAAUGACCCGUUUUCAUUUAGUAAUUAAAGAAAACGAUCAAUAAAUAAAAGCUACCUUAGGGAUAACAGGAUAAUUUUGUUUUAGAGAUCACAUCGAAAACAAAGUUUGUCACCUCUAUGUUGAAUUAAGAUAUCCUAGUAAUGCAGAAGUUACUAAAGGUAGGUCUGUUCGACCUUUAAAA
Molecule: ribosomal RNA, 587 nt
Filed under: Hydractinia symbiolongicarpus
Lineage: Eukaryota; Metazoa; Cnidaria; Hydrozoa; Anthoathecata; Hydractiniidae
Description: partial 16S ribosomal RNA
Rfam family: Bacterial large subunit ribosomal RNA
Source: RNAcentral